UUUCUUUUUUCACACAUGCACGCGCACACUUUUUUUUCCCCUCUAAUUAUUCCUUUUUCUUUCUAAUCUCACUUUAAAAAAAUUAUGCCAUAUUUGCACAUGUCUAAAUAUAGGCAUUAAUUUUGAACAAAUCCUAACAUAGAGUGAUCUCUGUUGCUGAGAGAAUAUAUCAUAAUUUUAUAAAUCAUGUUAAGCUAGCUAUGUUCUGUUCAUAGGAGUGCCUGAAAAUAAUUUAAAUCAUGUUUUUAGUAUUGUUGUGAUGGUUGAUGCAAGUCUAUACAAAGUUGCAAAAUAAAUUACUUAUAAUAUAUUUCACAAGGGACUGGGAACAACGGAGGGCUUUGUUCAGUUCUGUAUUGUAGUAAUUCUGCGUGUUAAAUUACUGAUAUGUCUGUUUAUCAUACUCUCUAUUCCAAGCUUUUUUCUUUUGAUUCCUUCAACAUGGUGCACUAACAUGCGCUGCAACACUGAUCCUAGCAAAUGGCUUCAUCUUGCAUAUGAAAAAUUAAGAUCAGUAGAUACUAAGAAAAGGAAAGGAUGGCUACUUAUUUACUGUUGAGAUCAGUAGAUAUUAAGAAAAGCACAGGAUUGUGUAACUUGAUUGUCUUUUCACAGAAUUGAUAUGUGGUUUUUAUAAAGCCAGGUUAUUUUUCCAUUUUUCCCAUAACUGUGUAUCUUAGUAAUCCCAUCCUUUCAUUGUUUGCCAGUGACAGCUUUUUUCAUUUCUUUUUAAAUGUAUCUACAAUUUUGAGGGUUUUAAGUUUGUGCUGUAUUAGAAUUGUGCUUUCAUUUAGCUCUCUUUGUGUUUGUGCGUGCGCGCCCCAUUAGGGGUGCACAAUGGGUUGGUUCAGUUCUGAUCCAAACCGAACCUAACUAGCCAAAAUGUAAAAUUAUGCAAACCAAACCGGUCCAAACUGUUAAGUUUUAGAAAGAAAGAAUAAGGGAGGGAGAAAGAACACAAAGGCUACAUCUUUGAUUCACAUCACACACUCAUUACAUAAUACAAUAGUCUAUUAUAAUGGAGGAUACAAGACAUACUCCUUUUAAGGAAGACCACCAUUCCCUGAAUUAAGGACAAAUAUCAUCCCAUAAAUUAAGGAGGAAUCUUCUCCUUAAAUUAAGGAAA
RNAcentral lists this unclassified non-coding RNA (1126 nucleotides) under Hevea brasiliensis (rubber tree). Lineage: Eukaryota; Viridiplantae; Streptophyta; Magnoliopsida; Malpighiales; Euphorbiaceae. The record is from RNAcentral.